GAUGAAGAACGUAGCGAAAUGCGAUACUUGGUGUGAAUUGCAGAAUCCCGUGAACCAUCGAGUCUUUGAACGCAAGUUGCGCCCGAAGCCAUUAGGCCGAGGGCACGUCUGCCUGGGCGUCACACGUCGUUGCCCCCCCAUCUACUCCUUCGGGAUUGCGGGGGGCGGAUGAUGGCCUCUCGUGCGCCUCGUCGCGCGGUUGGCCUAAAUGCCAAGUCCUCGGCGACGCACGCCACGACAAUCGGUGGUUGCGAAACCUCGGUUGCCUGUCGUGUGCGGUCGUCGCGCAUCGAGGGCUCGAAAAAAUUGCCGGGCUUCGGCUCCACUUUCAACGCGACCCCAGGUCAGGCGGGGUUACCCGCUGAAUUUAAGCAUAUCAAUAAGCGGAGGA
RNAcentral lists this unclassified non-coding RNA (391 nucleotides) under soil metagenome. RNAcentral's name for it is "partial contains 5.8S ribosomal RNA, internal transcribed spacer 2, and large subunit ribosomal RNA". The stretch from base 1 to 122 matches the Rfam family "5.8S ribosomal RNA", at positions 35 to 154 of the family's 154-position model. The record is from RNAcentral.